GGGGCACCUGAUCUUCAAUGCCGCGUGAGUGAAGAAGGCCUUCGGGUUGUAAAGCUCUUUUGUCAGGGAAGAAACACCGGCUCUAACACAGUCCGGGAAUGACGGUACCUGAAGAAUAAGCACCGGCUAACUACGUGCCAGCAGCCGCGGUAAUACGUAGGGUGCGAGCGUUAAUCGGAAUUACUGGGCGUAAAGCGUGCGCAGGCGGUUAUACAAGACAGGCGUGAAAUCCCCGGGCUUAACCUGGGAAUGGCGCCUGUGACUGUAUAGCUAGAGUGUGUCAGAGGGGGGUAGAAUUCCACGUGUAGCAGUGAAAUGCGUAGAUAUGUGGAGGAAUACCAAUGGCGAAGGCAGCCCCCUGGGAUAACACUGACGCUCAUGCACGAAAGCGUGGGGAGCAAACAGGAUUAGAUACCCUGGUAGUCCACGCCCUAAACGAUGCUGACUAGUUGUUCGGGAUUUACAUCCUGAGUAACGUAGCUAACGCGUGAAGUCAGCCGCCUGGGGAGUACGGUCGCAAGAUUAAAACUCAAAGGAAUUGACGGGGACCCGCACAAGCGGUGGAUGAUGUGGAUUAAUUCGAUGCAACGCGAAAAACUUUACUACCUUGAC
Molecule: ribosomal RNA, 612 nt
Filed under: uncultured bacterium
Lineage: Bacteria
Description: bacterial SSU rRNA
Rfam family: Bacterial small subunit ribosomal RNA
Source: RNAcentral